UGCAAGUAGAACGCUGAAGGAGGAGCUUGCUUCUCUGGAUGAGUAGCGAACGGGUGAGUAACGCGUAGGUAACCUGCCUGGUAGCGGGGGAUAACUAUUGGAAACGAUAGCUAAUACCGCAUAACAGUAGAUGUUGCAUGACAUUUGCUUAAAAGGUGCAAUUGCAUCACUACCAGAUGGACCUGCGCUGUAUUAGCUAGUUGGUGGGGUAACGGCUCACCAAGGCGACGAUACAUAGCCGACCUGAGAGGGUGAUCGGCCACACUGGGACUGAGACACGGCCCAGACUCCUACGGGAGGCAGCAGUAGGGAAUCUUCGGCAAUGGACGGAAGUCUGACCGAGCAACGCCGCGUGAGUGAAGAAGGUUUUCGGAUCGUAAAGCUCUGUUGUAAGAGAAGAACGAGUGUGAGAGUGGAAAGUUCACACUGUGACGGUAUCUUACCAGAAAGGGACGGCUAACUACGUGCCAGCAGCCGCGGUAAUACGUAGGUCCCGAGCGUUGUCCGGAUUUAUUGGGCGUAAAGCGAGCGCAGGCGGUUAGAUAAGUCUGAAGUUAAAGGCUGUGGCUUAACCAUAGUACGCUUUGGAAACUGUUUAACUUGAGUGCAAGAGGGGAGAGUGGAAUUCCAUGUGUAGCGGUGAAAUGCGUAGAUAUAUGGAGGAACACCGGUGGCGAAGCGGCUCUCUGGCUUGUAACUGACGCUGAGGCUCGAAAGCGUGGGGAGCAAACAGGAUUAG
This 739-nucleotide ribosomal RNA is filed under the name uncultured Streptococcus sp. RNAcentral's name for it is "bacterial SSU rRNA". It matches the Rfam family "Bacterial small subunit ribosomal RNA", at positions 56 to 781 of the family's 1533-position model. Lineage: Bacteria; Bacillati; Bacillota; Bacilli; Lactobacillales; Streptococcaceae. The record is from RNAcentral.